This 218-nucleotide long non-coding RNA is filed under the name Lupinus angustifolius (narrow-leaved blue lupine). Its description in RNAcentral is "long non-coding RNA (LANG_LNC003588)". Lineage: Eukaryota; Viridiplantae; Streptophyta; Magnoliopsida; Fabales; Fabaceae. The record is from RNAcentral.
ACUUGUGACUCUUCACUCUUCCCAUACCCAUGUAACAAUGGAACUCCCCGGUAGUAGUCUGGUCCAACAAGUGGUAUCAGAGCCAACUGUUCGGCUAGGACAUGGUAGACUUAAGGGAAAACGGACCGGAAAGUGUGAGAUACUCACACUUGAUGGGGAGAUUGUUGGGUUUAUUCAAGUGUGAAGUCCCACAUUGGAUAUGCAAGGAAGAAUGAAAG